GACGAACGCUGGCGGCGUGCUUAACACAUGCAAGUCGAGCGAGGCCCUGCCUUCGGGUGGGUGUUCUAGCGGCGAACGGGUGAGUAACACGUGGGCAACCUGCCCCUGGCUCUGGGAUAACUCCAAGAAAUUGGGGCUAAUACCGGAUAUGACCGCUGACCGCAUGGUCUGGUGGUGGAAAGAUUUAUCGGCUGGGGAUGGGCCCGCGGCCUAUCAGCUUGUUGGUGGGGUAGUGGCCACCAAGGCGACGACGGGUAGCCGGCCUGAGAGGGUGACCGGCCACACUGGGACUGAGACACGGCCCAGACUCCUACGGGAGGCAGCAGUGGGAAGGUAUUGCGCAAUGGGCGAAAGCCUGACGCAGCGACGCCGCGUGGGGAUGACGGCCUCGGUUGUAA
Molecule: ribosomal RNA, 398 nt
Filed under: uncultured bacterium
Lineage: Bacteria
Description: bacterial SSU rRNA
Rfam family: Bacterial small subunit ribosomal RNA
Source: RNAcentral